Pundamilia nyererei is the source of this 224-nucleotide long non-coding RNA. RefSeq lists it as uncharacterized. NCBI's taxonomy places the organism in Eukaryota, Metazoa, Chordata, Actinopteri, Cichliformes, Cichlidae. The record is from RefSeq and is a predicted model, not a curated record. The transcript is spliced from 3 exons.
CACAGCACCCGUGGCUUUCAGGGACCAGAUCACAGAGAAAUCAUGGGACACGGCCACCCCCGGAACAGUUACCAAGACCCCCAAGAGACCUGGGAACAAGUGUAGCAGAAUUUUAUGGUCAUUGUAGGAGGCUGAUGUUCAGCUGACAGACCUCUGAAGUGGCACAUCAGAGAGGCUGAAGAGGACACAGGAGAGUCGAUGAGGAGGAAGAGCAGCUGGCCUGG